GCGGCAGGCCUAACACAUGCAAGUCGAGCGGUAGCACAGAGAGCUUGCUCUCGGGUGACGAGCGGCGGACGGGUGAGUAAUGUCUGGGAAACUGCCUGAUGGAGGGGGAUAACUACUGGAAACGGUAGCUAAUACCGCAUAAUGUCGCAAGACCAAAGUGGGGGACCUUCGGGCCUCAUGCCAUCAGAUGUGCCCAGAUGGGAUUAGCUAGUAGGUGGGGUAACGGCUCACCUAGGCGACGAUCCCUAGCUGGUCUGAGAGGAUGACCAGCCACACUGGAACUGAGACACGGUCCAGACUCCUACGGGAGGCAGCAGUGGGGAAUAUUGCACAAUGGGCGCAAGCCUGAUGCAGCCAUGCCGCGUGUGUGAAGAAGGCCUUCGGGUUGUAAAGCACUUUCAGCGGGGAGGAAGGCGGUGAGGUUAAUAACCUCAUCGAUUGACGUUACCCGCAGAAGAAGCACCGGCUAACUCCGUGCCAGCAGCCGCGGUAAUACGGAGGGUGCAAGCGUUAAUCGGAAUUACUGGGCGUAAAGCGCACGCAGGCGGUCUGUCAAGUCGGAUGUGAAAUCCCCGGGCUUAACCUGGGAACUGCAUUCGAAACUGGCAGGCUAGAGUCUUGUAGAGGGGGGUAGAAUUCCAGGUGUAGCGGUGAAAUGCGUAGAGAUCUGGAGGAAUACCGGUGGCGAAGGCGGCCCCCUGGACAAAGACUGACGCUCAGGUGCGAAAGCGUGGGGAGCAAACAGGAUUAGAUACCCUGGUAGUCCACGCCGUAAACGAUGUCGAUUUGGAGGUUGUGCCCUUGAGGCGUGGCUUCCGGAGCUAACGCGUUAAAUCGACCGCCUGGGGAGUACGGCCGCAAGGUUAAAACUCAAAUGAAUUGACGGGGGCCCGCACAAGCGGUGGAGCAUGUGGUUUAAUUCGAUGCAACGCGAAGAACCUUACCUGGUCUUGACAUCCACAGAACUUUCCAGAGAUGGAUUGGUGCCUUCGGGAACUGUGAGACAGGUGCUGCAUGGCUGUCGUCAGCUCGUGUUGUGAAAUGUUGGGUUAAGUCCCGCAACGAGCGCAACCCUUAUCCUUUGUUGCCAGCGGUCCGGCCGGGAACUCAAAGGAGACUGCCAGUGAUAAACUGGAGGAAGGUGGGGAUGACGUCAAGUCAUCAUGGCCCUUACGACCAGGGCUACACACGUGCUACAAUGGCAUAUACAAAGAGAAGCGACCUCGCGAGAGCAAGCGGACCUCAUAAAGUAUGUCGUAGUCCGGAUUGGAGUCUGCAACUCGACUCCAUGAAGUCGGAAUCGCUAGUAAUCGUAGAUCAGAAUGCUACGGUGAAUACGUUCCCGGGCCUUGUACACACCGCCCGUCACACCAUGGGAGUGGGUUGCAAAAGAAGUAGGUAGCUUAACCUUCGGGAGGGCGCUUACCACUUUGUGAUUCAUGACUGGGGUGAAGUCGUAACAAGGUAACCGUAGGGGAACCUGCGGUUGGAUCACCUCCUUA
Molecule: ribosomal RNA, 1502 nt
Filed under: Klebsiella pneumoniae
Lineage: Bacteria; Pseudomonadati; Pseudomonadota; Gammaproteobacteria; Enterobacterales; Enterobacteriaceae
Description: bacterial SSU rRNA
Rfam family: Bacterial small subunit ribosomal RNA
Source: RNAcentral